This 728-nucleotide long non-coding RNA is filed under the name Piliocolobus tephrosceles (Ugandan red Colobus). Its description in RNAcentral is "lncRNA (ENSPTEG00000007634.1)". Lineage: Eukaryota; Metazoa; Chordata; Mammalia; Primates; Cercopithecidae. The record is from RNAcentral.
ACUAUUGCAAUUUGUAAUAUGUUAUAAAAAAAAUAAAUAUCAAAAUUUUAUGAGAUAUAAAAAUUUUAAAAAAUUAACUUUACUAAGUGAACAUCACUGUUGUAUAAUAAUAACAGUUAUUUUAAUAUAAAUAUAGAAAGUUACAACUCACAUAUAUACAUAACAAAAAAGAUAUACCUAUGCGUACAUAAACAUAUAUAUAUAUAUAUAUAUAUGUAUAUACGUUAAUAAUUAAAAAUAUGGUAAAUGUAUGCACAUAAACAUAUGUAUAUAUAUGUAUAUGUAUAUAUACAUAGAACAAUGAAAAUUUUUUUUUUUUUUUUUUAUUCUAUCACUGCUUAAGUUUAAGUGCUGUAAAUUGUAAUAAAGAAACGCAUGUAGAGCUUAAUGAGUAUGAACUAAAAAACCAAUUUAGUGUUCGCAUAUUAAAACAAUCUUCUGAAAAUUGUGGUUUAGAAUUUGAAGAUGAAGCAGAAAUUGACAUCAGGGCAUUUUCUCCAGGAGUGAAACUCAUGCCUAGUUUAUCAUCAGAUUUCGAAUUUGGAUAUGCUAAUCAGAAGUUUAUAGUCGGAAAAUACAACGUCCCUGAUUUAAAUAAAGGUUUACGAGGGAUGUGUACAGGCGAACUAAGGCGCAUAGGCAUAUCAAUUAACAAUUUAGGUAAAAUAUAUUAUGAAGUAAUAUUGAAAAAUUAUAAAAAGAAAAGCCCGAAAAGUGAAGAACUUUAA